AAAAACCACAGAUUUCUGACUCCCACCUCCUAUCAAAUAGGAGGUACCACUAGAUAAGGUAGACUAGGUCAAAUGACCUAGUCAAACAAGGAAACUAUGGGGCAUCCAACUCUUGGACACCCCUUCCCUUAUUAUCUACAUGGAGAUCAGGAAACCACACACAAAAGAGGUGACAAAAAGAAAAGAUAGGCAUGGAGAAAGUUGGCACAAGAGAGGGGAGAGG
RNAcentral lists this long non-coding RNA (223 nucleotides) under Elaeis guineensis (African oil palm). RNAcentral's name for it is "long non-coding RNA (EGUI_LNC018371)". Lineage: Eukaryota; Viridiplantae; Streptophyta; Magnoliopsida; Arecales; Arecaceae. The record is from RNAcentral.